CAUUGUUUUACAUUGUCAUUUCGGGCCUUUUGAAGCUGAGUAUGCGGUAUGGGAUUUGCUCUUUGUUGAAGGCCGUACGGUGACCUAUAGUUGUUAAUAUCUGUGUCAUUUUGGUCUCUUGUGGAGAGUUGUCUUAACAUGGCAAUCAUACCACAUCUUCUUUUUUUUGUAUGUAAUCAAUAAAUUUUGUAAAAGAUUUAAUGAUUGGAGAAUUUCAGAAAAAGUAUCAAAAGUUCACAUGAAUAAUUUUAGCGCUUAUCUGUAUAUUAUGAACAUUC
This 278-nucleotide long non-coding RNA is filed under the name Mytilus galloprovincialis (Mediterranean mussel). Lineage: Eukaryota; Metazoa; Mollusca; Bivalvia; Mytilida; Mytilidae. The record is from RNAcentral.